This 211-nucleotide ribosomal RNA is filed under the name uncultured soil bacterium. RNAcentral describes it as "partial 16S ribosomal RNA". It matches the Rfam family "Bacterial small subunit ribosomal RNA", at positions 26 to 265 of the family's 1533-position model. The record is from RNAcentral.
AGAACGAACGCUGGCGGCAUGCCUAAUACAUGCAAGUCGAACGAACACUUCGGUGUUAGUGGCGCACGGGUGCGUAACGCGUGGGAAUCUGCCCUUGGGUUCGGAAUAACAGUUGGAAACGACUGCUAAUACCGGACGAUAUCGAAAGAUCAAAGAUUUAUCGCCCAGGGAUGAGCCCGCGUAGGAUUAGCUAGUUGGUGAGGUAAAGGCU